RNAcentral lists this ribosomal RNA (134 nucleotides) under uncultured eukaryote. RNAcentral describes it as "partial 18S ribosomal RNA". It matches the Rfam family "Eukaryotic small subunit ribosomal RNA", at positions 1299 to 1458 of the family's 1831-position model. The record is from RNAcentral.
UGGUGGAGUGAUUUGUCAGGUUAAUUCCCUUAACGAACGAGACCUUGACCUACUAAAUAGAAGUCGGUACUUCUACCGAUCAUCUUCUUAGAGGGACUACGGUCUAAAAACCGUGGAAGUUCGAGGCAAUAACA